GGGGAGCAGGCAGGGCAGGUGGCCACAUCCUGCAAAGGACACCGGCCACCAGGCCCGCAGGCCGCACACACCGUUCACAUUUUCAAGCGAAGCGCAGAAAUGCCGGGAGCUGGGGAGUCAGUAACCUCCGCCUGGGCUCAAGCAGGCCGCCUAUGUUUCGGAAAUGAGCUGGAAGCCAUUUGAGAAAUGCUAGGACAAACAGCAUCCCCCCAACAUCACUUCUGGCACCGAGCUGGGGAGCCCGGAGAGUCUCCAGUCACUACAGAACACAGUCCUGGAGAAGGAAAUUCCUUGUCAGGAACAUCUCAGGCUACACGGUUCUGCAGAACAAAAUUCGGAGAAGUAUUUUAACCCCAAGAAUCUGCUGAUGGCUGGGACCCUGGGGUCUGAGGCUGGCAUGUGGACGGGAAGAGGGGGGCCCUUAGGAAGGGGGACCAACCUGUGUGGACCACCCACAGCAACACCCGCCAGUGACCCCUAAUGAGACCCAGCCCCCAGCCGGGCACUGAGCUGUACACCAAUGGUCAGCCCAAGAAGGGGGGAAACUGAGGGACAGGGUGUGAGGUCCUUUCAAGGUCACACAGCCAGAAAGGGUCAGGAAGACACGCCCACAGCUCCUGCCUCCCACACAUCCCUUCAACAAACCUGAGGACUCCAGGAGGAAGCACCAUGUCCGUGGAACCACCCAGAAGGUGUGGCCCAGCCCGGCUGGACAAGGGGUCCCCAGCCUGCCGCCUCCUCCCUCCAGGCACCGGGCAGGGGUAGGGGGCACUGGCAAGCAGGAUGGGCUGAGGAGAGAGGCGCGGGCCAGCCCACGCUGUCUGGACAUCUCCGUCUGAGCUCAUGCCUGCGAACGGGCAGCACACUCCUCCCAUUUCCAGGGAACUGGCCAGACGCCCUCGGUCCAGCCAGCCGGGCCCCAGAGGACACGAGAGGAUUUAGGGCCGGGCGGGUGGUGCGUGCCACUACUCCAACAGAUCUCAAGGAGGCUCCAAGCGCAGGUGAGAAGGCUCGGUGCCCCUCCACCCACCCACUCUGCUCAGAAAGGUACUGUGUUGCUCACUAUGGGAACUUCGGAGGACACUAAGCAGUGGAAAGAAGGGUCACCUGCCACCACCCACAACCCAGAGACACCUGCUUGCGCAGGUUUUCUGUGCCUCCGGGGAAGAAGGGGCUCUGACCCCACCAGCGCCCCCCACCCCUGCCGUCUCCCCAGACGAUGAGCCCUCUGAUGAAGCAGGUGUGGCA
This 1248-nucleotide long non-coding RNA is filed under the name Ailuropoda melanoleuca (giant panda). RNAcentral's name for it is "lncRNA (ENSAMEG00000023738.1)". Lineage: Eukaryota; Metazoa; Chordata; Mammalia; Carnivora; Ursidae. The record is from RNAcentral.